GACGAACCGUGCGAACGUUGUUCGGAAUCACUGGGCUUAAAGGGCGCGUAGGCGGGCGGCCAAGUCAGGGGUGAAAUCCUCCAGCUUAACUGGAGAAGUGCCUUUGAUACUGGUCGUCUUGAGGAAGGUAGGGGCAUGCGGAACUGAUGGUGGAGCGGUGAAAUGUGUUGAUAUCAUCAGGAACUCCGGUGGCGAAAGCGGCGUGCUGGACCUUUUCUGACGCUGAUGCGCGAAAGCCAGGGGAGCAAACGGG
Molecule: ribosomal RNA, 253 nt
Filed under: uncultured bacterium
Lineage: Bacteria
Description: partial 16S ribosomal RNA
Rfam family: Bacterial small subunit ribosomal RNA
Source: RNAcentral